GUACCUUUCUAAAGUUGAUGCAGUUGCUUUAUAUUGACAAUGCAGAAGGGUAAAGUAAGAGUCCAUAAAAACCUAGAAAGGAGGUUGCAAAACUCUUCUUUGGAUUCUGCCUGGAAACAAAGUG
Small nucleolar RNA from Sorex fumeus (smoky shrew), 124 nucleotides. RefSeq annotates it as small nucleolar RNA SNORA26. The record is from RefSeq and is a predicted model, not a curated record. The transcript has a single exon. NCBI's taxonomy places the organism in Eukaryota, Metazoa, Chordata, Mammalia, Eulipotyphla, Soricidae.